CGUGCAGGCGGCCUCUUAAGUCUGAUGUGAAAGCCCGGGGCUCACCCCCGGAAGAGCAUUGGAAACUGGGAAGCUAGAGUACCGGAGAGGAAGGUGGAAUUCCUGGUGUAGCGGUGAAAUGCGUAGAUAUCAGGAGGAACACCGGUGGCGAAGGCGGCCUUCUGGACGGAUACUGACGCUGAGACGCGAAAGCGUGGGGAGCAAACAGGAUUAGAUACCCUGGUAGUCCACGCCGUAAACGAUGGGCACUAGGUGUUCGGGGUAUUGACCCCCUGAGUGCCGCAGCUAACGCAUUAAGUGCCCCGCCUGGGGACUACAGCCGCAAGGUUAAA
Molecule: ribosomal RNA, 332 nt
Filed under: uncultured bacterium
Lineage: Bacteria
Description: bacterial SSU rRNA
Rfam family: Bacterial small subunit ribosomal RNA
Source: RNAcentral